AGUGAACGCUGGCGGUAGGCCUAACACAUGCAAGUCGAACGGCAGCACAGUAAGAGCUUGCUCUUACGGGUGGCGAGUGGCGGACGGGUGAGGAAUACAUCGGAAUCUACUUUUUCGUGGGGGAUAACGUAGGGAAACUUACGCUAAUACCGCAUACGACCUACGGGUGAAAGCAGGGGAUCUUCGGACCUUGCGCGAUUGAAUGAGCCGAUGUCGGAUUAGCUAGUUGGCGGGGUAAAGGCCCACCAAGGCGACGAUCCGUAGCUGGUCUGAGAGGAUGAUCAGCCACACUGGAACUGAGACACGGUCCAGACUCCUACGGGAGGCAGCAGUGGGGAAUAUUGGACAAAGGGCGCAAGCCUGAUCCAGCCAUACCGCGUGGGUGAAGAAGGCCUUCGGGUUGUAGAGCCCUUUUGUUGGGAAAGAAAAGCAGCAGGUUAAUACCCCGCUGUUCUGACGGUACCCAAAGAAUAAGCACCGGCUAACUUCGUG
RNAcentral lists this ribosomal RNA (492 nucleotides) under uncultured bacterium. RNAcentral's name for it is "partial 16S ribosomal RNA". It matches the Rfam family "Bacterial small subunit ribosomal RNA", at positions 29 to 507 of the family's 1533-position model. The record is from RNAcentral.